GGACCGUCCCCUUGAUUUUUCUUUUUUCUUUCCUCUUCCUGAUCUCCCCCCCAAGGCCAAGCCCUCCUGGGGAGCACCUUCUAUGGUCAACUUCUUCUGCUAUUCAUUGGACUGCAGCACCGAGACCAUGUCUUCAUACUCCAAGGUCUUCUUGCUGUAAAGCAGUGUUGUUACCAAUGGAUCAUAGGAAGGGGGCAGC
Molecule: long non-coding RNA, 199 nt
Filed under: Elaeis guineensis (African oil palm)
Lineage: Eukaryota; Viridiplantae; Streptophyta; Magnoliopsida; Arecales; Arecaceae
Description: long non-coding RNA (EGUI_LNC077031)
Source: RNAcentral